ACACAUCAAAGGAGGGACGACGGAGACUGAUUCCAGCUGUGAGGAACUACAGAAAGGCUCGAUUUUCUGGCUGUGAACUCUCAGCGAGUCACUGUGAAGUUGUGGCCUCAGCUCUGAAGUCCAACCCCUCCCAUCUGACAGAGUUGGAUCUGAGCAACAACUCCGUACAGGAUUCAGGAGUGAAGCAGCUGUGUGAUGGACUGAAGAGUCCAAACUGUAGACUGGAGACUCUGAGAUUGAGGGGCUGCAUUUUGUCCAAUAUCAGCUGUGAUUCUCUGGUCUCAGCUCUGAAGUCCAACCCCUCCCAUCUGAAACAUCUGGACCUGAGUAAAAACAACCUGCAGGACUCAGACGUGAAGCAGAUUCUUGAUCUUGUGAAGAGUCCAGACUGUAGACUGGAGACUCUGAAGUGGAAGUAAAGCUAAACAGGACGAUAUGUGAGCUGAGAGAGGAUGAGCUGAGUCCUGAUGAUCCAGAGGUUGAAUCAGCAGCAGCUUGUGUGUAGAGAGACUCUGAUUGGACCAUGUUACUGGGAGGUGGAGUCAAGAGGAGAGCUUCAUCCACAUGUUUCUCAUUUAACGUCAUCAACAGAGCUGAAAUCAAUCUAUUCUAACAGAACCAACAAAUAAAGUUGAAUUAUUCUGAUACAUUAAAAACAAAAUAUUCGAUGUAGAUGUAAAGUUCCAGCAUCAACAAUCCUUUCUGUUGUUUCUUGUUGCUGAAUGUGUAUAUAUUUGUCCCAUCUGUAUUGUAAUUUGUGUCAUGUGGUUGUCAUUUUACAGUGUAUCUUUAUUAUCAUGUGGUUGUUAAGUAAAAUCUGUCCUGGUUGUAGUUUUUA
Mugil cephalus (flathead mullet) is the source of this 838-nucleotide long non-coding RNA. RefSeq lists it as uncharacterized. NCBI's taxonomy places the organism in Eukaryota, Metazoa, Chordata, Actinopteri, Mugiliformes, Mugilidae. The transcript has 4 exons. The record is from RefSeq and is a predicted model, not a curated record.